RNAcentral lists this ribosomal RNA (3002 nucleotides) under Nocardia acididurans. Its description in RNAcentral is "partial 23S ribosomal RNA". It matches the Rfam family "Bacterial large subunit ribosomal RNA". Lineage: Bacteria; Bacillati; Actinomycetota; Actinomycetes; Mycobacteriales; Nocardiaceae. The record is from RNAcentral.
UAGUAAGUGUGUAAGAGCGUACGGUGGAUGCCUUGGCACCAGGAGCCGAUGAAGGACGUAGGAGGCUGCGAUAAGCCUCGGGGAGCUGUCAACCGAGCUGAGAUCCGAGGAUUUCCGAAUGGGGAAACCCAGCACGAGUGAUGUCGUGUUACCCGCGUCUGAAUAUAUAGGGCGUGUGGAGGGAACGUGGGGAAGUGAAACAUCUCAGUACCCACAGGAAGAGAAAACAACAGUGAUUCCGUGAGUAGUGGCGAGCGAAAGCGGAAGAGGCUAAACCGAUUAUGUGUGAUAGACGGCAGUCGUUGCAUAGUCGGGGUUGUGGGACCUACUUACUCAAUUCUGCCGAGUUGGGCACAAGUAAGAAACCGUUGUGUUAGUCGAAUUGGUCUGGGACGGCCAACCGUAGAGGGUGAGAGUCCUGUAGACGAAAACUCAACGGCUUGUGUAGUAGGCACCCGAGUAGCAGCGGGCCCGUGAAAUCUGCUGUGAAUCUGUCGGGACCACCCGAUAAGCCUGAAUACUACCUGGUGACCGAUAGCGGACUAGUACCGUGAGGGAAAGGUGAAAAGUACCCCGGGAGGGGAGUGAAAUAGUACCUGAAACCGUGCGCUUACAAUCCGUCAGAGCUGACUUGUUCAGUGAUGGCGUGCCUUUUGAAGAAUGAGCCUGCGAGUCAUCGGUGUGUGGCGAGGUUAACCCGUGUGGGGUAGCCGUAGCGAAAGCGAGUCCGAAUAGGGCGAACCAGUCGCACACUAUGGACCCGAAGCGGAGUGAUCUACCCAUGGCCAGGGUGAAGCGACGGUAAGACGUCGUGGAGGCCCGAACCCACUUAGGUUGAAAACUGAGGGGAUGAGCUGUGGGUAGGGGUGAAAGGCCAAUCAAACUCCGUGAUAGCUGGUUCUCCCCGAAAUGCAUUUAGGUGCAGCGUCGCGUGUUUCUCACCGGAGGUAGAGCUACUGGAUGGCCUAGGGGGCCCACAAGCUUACCGAAGUCAGCCAAACUCCGAAUGCCGGUGAGUGAGAGCGCGGCAGUGAGACUGUGGGGGAUAAGCUUCAUAGUCGAGAGGGAAACAGCCCAGAUCGCCGGCUAAGGCCCCUAAGCGUGUACUAAGUGGAAAAGGAUGUGGAGUCGCGAAGACAACCAGGAGGUUGGCUUAGAAGCAGCCACCCUUGAAAGAGUGCGUAAUAGCUCACUGGUCAAGUGAUUCUGCGCCGACAAUGUAGCGGGGCUCAAGUACACCGCCGAAGCCGCGGCAUUCGCACAUAUAUCUUGCUUUCGAGCCAGGAGUGCGGAUGGGUAGGGGAGCGUCGUGUAGCCAGGGAAGCGGCGGAGUGAUCCAGCCGUGGAGGCUGCGCGAGUGAGAAUGCAGGCAUGAGUAGCGAAAGACGAGUGAGAAACUCGUCCGCCGAAUGACCAAGGGUUCCUGGGCCAGGUUAAUCCGCCCAGGGUGAGUCGGGACCUAAGGCGAGGCCGACAGGCGUAGUCGAUGGACAACGGGUUGAUAUUCCCGUACCCGUGUAUCCGCGCCCAAUGGCGAAUCAUCUGUGCUAACCGUCCAAAAGUUCCUUAAUCCACCUUCGGGUGGAAGGGGAACGGCUGCACGGGACCCUGGGUGUAGUAGUCAAGCGAUGGGGUGACGCAGGAAGGUAGCUGGGCCAGGUGAUGGAAUACCUGGUGUAAGCCUGUAGGGAGUGGUGUAGGCAAAUCCGCACCGCACAUAUCCUGAGAGGUGAUGCGUAGCCGAUUGAGGCGAAUUCAGUGAUCCUAUGCUGCCGAGAAAAGCCUCUAGUGAGUUGAUACACGGCCCGUACCCCAAACCGACACAGGUGGUCAGGUAGAGAAUACCGAGGCGAUCGAGAGAACUGUGGUUAAGGAACUCGGCAAAAUGCCCCCGUAACUUCGGGAGAAGGGGGACCUCGGCUGGUGACCGGAUUUACUCCGUGAGCUGGUUGGGGUCGCAGAGACCAGAGAGAAGCGACUGUUUACUAAAAACACAGGUCCGUGCGAAGUCGUAAGACGAUGUAUACGGACUGACGCCUGCCCGGUGCCGGAAGGUUAAGAGGACCGGUUAGCGCCUUCGGGUGCGAAGCUGAGAAUUUAAGCCCCGGUAAACGGCGGUGGUAACUAUAACCAUCCUAAGGUAGCGAAAUUCCUUGUCGGGUAAGUUCCGACCUGCACGAAUGGCGUAACGACUUCUCUGCUGUCUCAACCACAGACUCGGCGAAAUUGCAGUACGAGUAAAGAUGCUCGUUACGCGCGGCAGGACGAAAAGACCCCGGGACCUUCACUAUAGCUUGGUAUUGGUGUUCGGUACGGUUUGUGUAGGAUAGGUGGGAGACUGUGAAGCAGGCACGCCAGUGUUUGUGGAGUCGUCGUUGAAAUACCACUCUGAUCGUAUUGGACCUCUAACCUCGGACCCUGAUCGGGUUCAGGGACAGUGCCUGGUGGGUAGUUUAACUGGGGCGGUUGCCUCCCAAAAUGUAACGGAGGCGCCCAAAGGUUCCCUCAGCCUGGUUGGCAAUCAGGUGUCGAGUGCAAGUGCACAAGGGAGCUUGACUGUGAGACCGACAGGUCGAGCAGGGACGAAAGUCGGGACUAGUGAUCCGGCACCGGCAAGUGGAAGCGGUGUCGCUCAACGGAUAAAAGGUACCCCGGGGAUAACAGGCUGAUCUUCCCCAAGAGUCCAUAUCGACGGGAUGGUUUGGCACCUCGAUGUCGGCUCGUCGCAUCCUGGGGCUGGAGUAGGUCCCAAGGGUUGGGCUGUUCGCCCAUUAAAGCGGCACGCGAGCUGGGUUUAGAACGUCGUGAGACAGUUCGGUCUCUAUCCGCCGCGCGCGUCAGAAACUUGAGGAAGGCUGUCCCUAGUACGAGAGGACCGGGACGGACGAACCUCUGGUGUGCCAGUUGUUCCGCCAGGAGCACGGCUGGUUUGCUACGUUCGGAAGGGAUAACCGCUGAAAGCAUCUAAGCGGGAAGCCUGUUCCAAGAUGAGGUUUCUCACC